AGCAGCGUGGCCUAGCAGAUAAAGCCCACGUCUGAGAGUCGUGAGACCUGGGUUUUUAUCCCAGCUCUGUCA
RNAcentral lists this transfer RNA (72 nucleotides) under Ornithorhynchus anatinus (platypus). It matches the Rfam family "tRNA". Rfam says of the family: Transfer RNA (tRNA) molecules are approximately 80 nucleotides in length. Their secondary structure includes four short double-helical elements and three loops (D, anti-codon, and T loops). Lineage: Eukaryota; Metazoa; Chordata; Mammalia; Monotremata; Ornithorhynchidae. The record is from Rfam by way of RNAcentral.